Phrynosoma platyrhinos (Desert horned lizard) is the source of this 72-nucleotide non-coding RNA. The record is from the annotation of a GenBank genome assembly. NCBI's taxonomy places the organism in Eukaryota, Metazoa, Chordata, Lepidosauria, Squamata, Phrynosomatidae.
ACCAGUGUGGCUUAAUGGUUUGAGCACUAGACUACAGUUCUAGAGACCAGGGCUCAAAUCCCUACUUGGCCA